Molecule: ribosomal RNA, 375 nt
Filed under: uncultured organism
Description: partial 16S ribosomal RNA
Rfam family: Bacterial small subunit ribosomal RNA
Source: RNAcentral
GUAGGUGGCAAGCGUUGUCCGGGAAUUAUUGGGGCGUAAAGCGCGCGCAGGCGGUUCCUUAAGUCUGAUGUGAAAGCCCACGGGCUCAACCGUGGAGGGUCAUUGGAAACUGGAGAACUUGAGUACAGAAGAGGAAAGCGGAAUUCCACGUGUAGCGGUGAAAUGCGUAGAGAUGUGGAGGAACACCAGUGGCGAAGGCGGCUUUCUGGUCUGUAACUGACGCUGAGGCGCGAAAGCGUGGGGAGCAAACAGGAUUAGAUACCCUGGUAGUCCACGCCGUAAACGAUGAGUGCUAAGUGUUAGGGGGUUUCCGCCCCUUAGUGCUGCAGCUAACGCAUUAAGCACUCCGCCUGGGGAGUACGGCCGCAAAGGCUG